AGCAGCCGCGGUAACUCCAGCUACAAUGGGGUAUUAUAAAAGUUGUUGCAGUUAAAAAGCUCGUAGUUGAAUUUCGGGAUUAGUACGUUGGUCGUGCCUUAGGUACGUACUGGUGUUACUGGUUCCUACCUUCUGACGAACCAUCAUGUCAUUAAUUUGGUGUGGCGGGGAAUCAGGACUGUUACUUUGAAAAAAUUAGAGUGUUUAAAGCAGGCUCGCGCUUGAAUACAUUAGCAUGGAAUAAUGAAAUAGGACGUUGACCCUAUUUUGUUGGUUUCUAGGAUUGACGUAAUGAUUAAUAGGGAUAGUUGGGGGCAUUAGUAUUCAAUUGUCAGAGGUGAAAUUCUUGGAUUUAUUGAAGACUAACUACUGCGAAAGCAUUUGCCAAGGAUGUUUUCAUUAAUCAAGAACGAAAGUUAGGGGAUCGAAGACGAUCAGAUACCGUCGUAGUCUUAACCAUAAACUAUGCCGACUAGGGAUCGGAUGAUGUUAUUUUUAAUGACUCAUUCGGCGCCUUACG
This 520-nucleotide ribosomal RNA is filed under the name uncultured Glomus. Its description in RNAcentral is "SSU rRNA". It matches the Rfam family "Eukaryotic small subunit ribosomal RNA", at positions 569 to 1092 of the family's 1831-position model. Lineage: Eukaryota; Fungi; Glomeromycota; Glomeromycetes; Glomerales; Glomeraceae. The record is from RNAcentral.